UAUUCGCCCCCUGUGGUAUUGAUAAAGCUAGCUGGUAUUUGUAAGCUAAGGUCAUGGUGUUGUUUUUUUUGGUUAGGGUUAACCCAAAUGCUUUACAAUGUGUAUUACUGCAUAACCUAAUGUUACCAAAUGUACUCUUGUAGUAUGACCACUCUUCUACAGAAAACUUGGAUCAUAGAUAAGUUUUACAAAUCUUUGACUUUACAAUACAGGCUGGACGCCAAACUCUAACAUGGUGGCUUGGGUAAAACACUAGUCGUUUGUAGAACCUGUUUUUCUAACUAAGAUCCUUUUCAAACACCAGGAAGCGAGCCAGGAUCAGUGCAUCGACCAGACUCGGAUCCGUAGAGGCUUCCACACCCCGACGAUGAAGAUGGAGAGGGCAGAUGGAGGUGCUGGAGACCGGAGACCAUGGAGCAGAGAAGAUGGAACCUCAUCUACCCUGAAGAUCCCUGCUCCACCUGCUCCGCCUACACCGCCAACUACCCAAUCACUACUCAAAGAGCUUCACCCUCUGUGUGCCUGCUGCACACAACUCUAUACCCCCCUCACUUUGUGUAUGUUUGGACCAGUCUUAUCCUUUGAUUGGCCAAGUCUUUCAUUUGUCCCAACCAAGAACGUCUCUUUGAGCCCGGUUUAUGCACUGGGAUCAUCUGGGAUUCGUCAAGUCUCCCUUCCCCAAGAGCUUAUCUGUAACCAGAUCUAUCUGAAGCUAAUAUUAUCUGAAGCAAUUCCACACUUGUUGCUUCAUAGAUUUACUGUGUGGGUUUGUGUGUUGGGCUUUUGCCAGAAUUCCAUGGAAAUGUGCAAACUAUAAACAGGUUGCUUGCAUUGCAACUCUCUCCGUCAUUGUAUUACGUUAUGGAGUUGUGUUGUGACGUUCUUAGCGGGGAUGAGCGGUUCACUUUUGGGCGCGAUACUGAAUAUUAUUGGCAGAUCAGUGGGAAUUGAGUUAUGGUUGAAAGAGUAAAGUUCAGCCGCCGUGUGAUCGAUAAAGCCAAACAGGAUUGCAUGCAGAAAGUGGGUAGGCUUCCUUUUAUUAAGAAAAGAUCUCCCACUCAUUCCCUCCCAGUACCGCCUUCUGUGUCCUCAGUUUCUUAAACAGCUGUUCGCUAGGCUACUUGAUGCGCAGUGACAUUUGCAGUUCUGUUUUA
Molecule: long non-coding RNA, 1154 nt
Organism: Gadus macrocephalus (Pacific cod)
Lineage: Eukaryota; Metazoa; Chordata; Actinopteri; Gadiformes; Gadidae
Exons: 3
Source: RefSeq, a predicted model, not a curated record